ACGGUAAUUUAUGUUAAAGAAAAGUAAAUAAUUAAAUAAAACAUUCUAACGCAUUGUAAUAUAUUGGAUUGGGGAAUAAGUUCAUAGCGUUUUAAUAAUUUCUUUUAUUUUGCAACGAUUUGUUUGCUGUUUGUUUUGAGGAUUAGAAAUGGAAUACCCAGGAGGCAAAAAUCAACAUUUUCGACACCUGCUCUUGUUUGCUUUUCAUCGAGGUCAAAAAGCUGCAGAAGCAGCGCGGGACAUUUGAGACGUGUAUGGAGAAGGUGUCAUAGGCGAGUCUACAGCACGGAAAUGGUUUGCUAAGUUCAAAAAUGGCGACUUUAACGUCGAUGACAUGUACCGCAGCGGAAGGCCUUCUGAAUUCGAUGAAGAACGUCUCAAAUCACUUUUGAAGGAGAACGGUCGCCAAACCAGUCGUGAAUUGGCGGAAAAAAUGAACUACGAUCAUAAAACGAUUCUCAAUCACCUUCAUUCAAUAGGAUUUAUCGAAAAAUUAGGAGCGUGGGUGCCUUACGAGCUCAACAAAAACAAGAAAGAAAGUCGCCUUCAAAUGGCUUCUCAGCACCUUACUCGCCAUCGAACAACACGUGGUCAUAAUUAAAUUCAAAAUAUGUGAACUGUUAUUGAAAUUUAAAGUUUUAUAAAUAAAUGAUUACAAUUAUUUUG
This is a long non-coding RNA of Polistes canadensis, 666 nucleotides long. RefSeq lists it as uncharacterized. The record is from RefSeq and is a predicted model, not a curated record. NCBI's taxonomy places the organism in Eukaryota, Metazoa, Arthropoda, Insecta, Hymenoptera, Vespidae. The transcript has 2 exons.